UACGUAGGUGACAAGCGUUGUCCGGAAUUAUUGGGCGUAAAGCGCGCGCAGGCGGUCUUUUAAGUCUGAUGUGAAAUCUCGGGGCUCAACCCCGAGCGGUCAUUGGAAACUGGGAGACUUGAGUACAGAAGAGGAGAGUGGAAUUCCACGUGUAGCGGUGAAAUGCGUAGAUAUGUGGAGGAACACCAGUGGCGAAGGCGACUCUCUGGUCUGUAACUGACGCUGAGGCGCGAAAGCGUGGGGAGCAAAC
This 250-nucleotide ribosomal RNA is filed under the name uncultured bacterium. RNAcentral's name for it is "partial 16S ribosomal RNA". It matches the Rfam family "Bacterial small subunit ribosomal RNA", at positions 524 to 773 of the family's 1533-position model. The record is from RNAcentral.